ACGCUAGCAUGACACUCAGGGAUAAGGAUAACAUAAUACCAUGAUCAACAGUUUAACAUUAUUCAAAAUCCAGUGCACAUAUAUAUAUUUGCACGUGUGUAUGAAGACAAUAAUAAGUAUAUAUAAAAGAAUAAUUUUUUAUCAUUAAUAUCGAACAAUAUACUUGAUCCGCCAUUAAAAAUCCUGCUCUUAUGAAUCGGAUCCAUUUAAAGUCAUGUAAGGCUAAUUUCUUGAUAAAGAAAAGCUUACCUUUCAAAAGAUCUCCUAUUUCUCUCUUUUCAUACUGCUCAUGUCAAGGCACGUAAAAUUACAUUCUAUUUCAUGCAUCUUCUCAUUCAAGACAAAUAAUUAUAAAUUAUAAAAUAAAAAUAUGGAUAAAAAAUUGAAAAAAAUAUGACAUUGAAAUAUCAAUUAUUUAAUAUUAUACUUUGAAAGAAAAAUAUACUUUAGAGUCUUAAUGACGAUACUAAAACAUAAAAUGAGCAAUUCAAACUAUCCCUGAUGGAGGAAUGAAAUCGAUUCUAAAUUUGAUUUACUAACGCAUUACAUCUCUAAUUACCAUUAUAUUUUAUCUUCUAGCCAACUAAUGACUUUGUUUAAUACUUGUUUGACACUAUGAUUUGUUUUCUAUUAUGAGAAAUCAUAAUUUUCACUUUAAUUUAAUCUCAAUAGUUUUUUAAAUGUAAGUAUGAUUUUGACAAAAGAGUGUUAACAUGAAUUACACCUUAAUAAGAAGUAGAACUAAUAUGAAUAAAAAAUAAAAUUUAGAACAGAAAAAACAUACCUUAAAUUCACUUGUAAUCAAUACGAAGUUUUGUUAAACAAACUUAUUUUGAAGGUAAAUUUAAACAAAUAAAAAAAAAAGACAUCAAAUAUAGAAGCUUGAAACCCCAGACGAACUUAUUUGCUAUCAAAAGAAAAUGUUGAAAAAGGUCAAAAAGAAUUUCAUGUGAUUCUUUACAUAUAUUAUUUUAGGACUGUUAAUUUAUUUN
This 992-nucleotide long non-coding RNA is filed under the name Capsicum annuum. RNAcentral's name for it is "long non-coding RNA (CANN_LNC022490)". The record is from RNAcentral. Lineage: Eukaryota; Viridiplantae; Streptophyta; Magnoliopsida; Solanales; Solanaceae.